CGUCAUCGAGGGUGAAGCCGCUGGGGGUCUCUUUGUCGCGGAGUUUCUGGUACAGGGCGGGGGUCAGGACCUUGGCCAUGUGAUUGUUGUGCUUGGACAGGUCCGGGAACUCCUCCUCGGCCGAGAACUUGAGCUUGUACUUGUUGUGGGUGUUGCUGAACGGCAUCUUGGGGACACCAGGACACUGUGGGGACAGGGACAGGGUCAGGGGACACGGGGACAGGGAUCAGGGAACU
Long non-coding RNA from Poecile atricapillus (Black-capped chickadee), 236 nucleotides. RefSeq lists it as uncharacterized. The record is from RefSeq and is a predicted model, not a curated record. Lineage: Eukaryota; Metazoa; Chordata; Aves; Passeriformes; Paridae. The transcript has 3 exons.